RNAcentral lists this ribosomal RNA (404 nucleotides) under uncultured bacterium. RNAcentral's name for it is "bacterial SSU rRNA". It matches the Rfam family "Bacterial small subunit ribosomal RNA", at positions 1011 to 1414 of the family's 1533-position model. The record is from RNAcentral.
GGCUUCCCGCAAGGGACUUCUGUAGAGGUGCUGCAUGGCUGUCGUCAGCUCGUGUCGUGAGAUGUUGGGUUAAGUCCCGCAACGAGCGCAACCCUUGUUCGCUGUUGCCAUCAGGUCAAGCUGGGCACUCUGCGAAGACUGCCGGUGAUAAACCGGAGGAAGGUGGGGAUGACGUCAAGUCAGCAUGGCCUUUAUGUUUGGGGCUACACACGUGCUACAAUGGCCGGUACAAACCGUCGCGAUCCCGCGAGGGGGAGCUAAUCGGAGAAAGCCGGUCUCAGUUCGGAUUGCAGGCUGCAACUCGCCUGCAUGAAGUUGGAAUCGCUAGUAAUCGCGGAUCAGCACGCCGCGGUGAAUACGUUCCCGGGCCUUGUACACACCGCCCGUCACAUCACGAAAGCCGG